UCGAGAAUUUUUCUCAAUGGGGGAAACCCUGAAGGAGCGACGCCGCGUGGAGGAUGAAGGUCUUCGGAUUGUAAACUCCUGUCAUUAGGGAACAAUUGCCGACAAUUAACUACUGUCGGCUUGAUAGUACCUGAAGAGGAAGAGACGGCUAACUCUGUGCCAGCAGCCGCGGUAAUACAGAGGUCUCAAGCGUUGUUCGGAUUCAUUGGGCGUAAAGGGUGCGUAGGUGGCGCCAUAAGUCAGGUGUGAAAUCUCGGGGCUCAACCCCGAAACUGCACUUGAUACUGUGGUGCUCGAGUACUGGAGAGGAGAUUGGAAUUUACGGUGUAGCAGUGAAAUGCGUAGAUAUCGUAAGGAAGACCAGUGGCGAAGGCGAAUCUCUGGACAGUUACUGACACUGAGGCACGAAGGCCAGGGGAGCAAACG
This 426-nucleotide ribosomal RNA is filed under the name uncultured Chthoniobacter sp. RNAcentral describes it as "bacterial SSU rRNA". It matches the Rfam family "Bacterial small subunit ribosomal RNA", at positions 355 to 774 of the family's 1533-position model. Lineage: Bacteria; Pseudomonadati; Verrucomicrobiota; Spartobacteria; Chthoniobacterales; Chthoniobacteraceae. The record is from RNAcentral.